RNAcentral lists this ribosomal RNA (253 nucleotides) under uncultured Acinetobacter sp. RNAcentral describes it as "partial 16S ribosomal RNA". It matches the Rfam family "Bacterial small subunit ribosomal RNA", at positions 524 to 776 of the family's 1533-position model. Lineage: Bacteria; Pseudomonadati; Pseudomonadota; Gammaproteobacteria; Moraxellales; Moraxellaceae. The record is from RNAcentral.
UACAGAGGGUGCGAGCGUUAAUCAGAUUUACUGGGCGUAAAGCGUACGUAGGCGGCUUUUUAAGUCGGAUGUGAAAUCCCUGAGCUUAACUUAGGAAUUGCAUUCGAUACUGGGAAGCUAGAGUAUGGGAGAGGAUGGUAGAAUUCCAGGUGUAGCGGUGAAAUGCGUAGAUAUGCGGAGGAAUACCGAUGGCGAAGGCAGCCCCCUGGGUCAAGAUUGACGCUCAUGCACGAAAGCGUGGGGAGCAAACAGG